RNAcentral lists this ribosomal RNA (584 nucleotides) under uncultured bacterium. Its description in RNAcentral is "partial 16S ribosomal RNA". It matches the Rfam family "Bacterial small subunit ribosomal RNA", at positions 355 to 1375 of the family's 1533-position model. The record is from RNAcentral.
UGGGGAAUUUUGGACAAUGGGUGAAAGCCUGAUCCAGCAAUGCCGCGUGUGUGAAGAAGGCCUUCGGGUUGUAAAGCACUUUUGUCCGGAAAGAAAUCCUCUGGGUUAAUACCUCGGGGGAUGACGGUACCGGAAGAAUAAGCACCGGCUAACUACGUGCCAGCAGCCGCGGUAAUACGUAGGGUGCAAGCGUUAAUCGGAAUUACUGGGCGUAAAGCGUGCGCAGGCGGUUUUGUAAGACGGAUGUGAAAUCCCCGGGCUUAACCUGGGAACUGCAUUCGUGACUGCAAGGCUAGAGUAUGGCAGAGGGGGGUAGAAUUCCACGUGUAGCAGUGAAAUGCGUAGAGAUGUGGAGGAAUACCGAUGGCGAAGGCAGCCCCCUGGGCCAAUACUGACGCUCAUGCGCGAAAGCGUGGGGAGCAAACAGGAUUAGAUACCCUGGUAGUCCACGCCCUAAACGAUGUCAACUAGUUGUUGGGGAUUCAUUUCCUUAGUAACGUAGCUAACGCGUGAAGUUGACCGCCUGGGGAGUACGGUCGCAAGAUUAAAACUCAAAUGAAUUGACGGGGUCAUAGCUGUUUCCU